RNAcentral lists this ribosomal RNA (253 nucleotides) under uncultured bacterium. RNAcentral describes it as "partial 16S ribosomal RNA". It matches the Rfam family "Bacterial small subunit ribosomal RNA", at positions 524 to 776 of the family's 1533-position model. The record is from RNAcentral.
UACGUAUGGUGCAAGCGUUAUCCGGAUUUACUGGGUGUAAAGGGAGCGCAGGCGGCACGGCAAGCCUGAUGUGAAAGCCCGCGGCCCAACCGCGGGACUGCAUUGGGAACUACCGGGCUGGAGUGCCGGAGAGGUAGGCGGCAUUCCUAGUGUAGCGGUGAAAUGCGUAGAUAUUAGGAGGAACACCAGUGGCGAAGGCGGCUUACUGGACUGUAACUGACGUUGAGGCUCGAAAGCGUGGGGAGCAAACAGG